RNAcentral lists this ribosomal RNA (608 nucleotides) under uncultured bacterium. Its description in RNAcentral is "bacterial SSU rRNA". It matches the Rfam family "Bacterial small subunit ribosomal RNA", at positions 338 to 950 of the family's 1533-position model. The record is from RNAcentral.
CCUACGGGAGGCAGCAGUAAGGAAUAUUGGACAAUGGACGCAAGUCUGAUCCAGCCAUGCCGCGUGAAGGAUUAAGGCCCUCUGGGUUGUAAACUUCUUUUAUAGGGGACGAAAAAAGGGCUUUCUAGCUCGACUGACGGUACCCUAUGAAUAAGCACCGGCUAACUCCGUGCCAGCAGCCGCGGUAAUACGGAGGGUGCAAGCGUUAUCCGGAUUCACUGGGUUUAAAGGGUGCGUAGGCGGGUAGGUAAGUCAGUGGUGAAAUCUUCGAGCUCAACUCGGAAACUGCCAUUGAUACUAUUUAUCUUGAAUAUUGUGGAGGUGAGCGGAGUAUGUCAUGUAGCGGUGAAAUGCUUAGAUAUGACAUAGAACACCAAUUGCGUAGGCAGCUCGCUACACAUAUAUUGACGCUGAGGCACGAAAGCGUGGGGAUCAAACAGGAUUAGAUACCCUGGUAGUCCACGCCCUAAACUAUGAUUACUCGACAUAUGCGAUACACAGUAUGUGUCUGAGCGAAAGCAUUAAGUAAUCCACCUGGAAGUACGACCGCAAGUUGAAACUUAAAUGAAUUGACCGGNNGAGAGNGCGAGGACGACACGAGGGAGGAG